Molecule: ribosomal RNA, 234 nt
Filed under: uncultured Lactobacillus sp.
Lineage: Bacteria; Bacillati; Bacillota; Bacilli; Lactobacillales; Lactobacillaceae
Description: partial 16S ribosomal RNA
Rfam family: Bacterial small subunit ribosomal RNA
Source: RNAcentral
GCCCAAGAGAUCGGGAUAACACCUGGAAACAGAUGCUAAUACCGGAUAACAACAGAUGAUGCCUAUCAACUGUUUAAAAGAUGGUUCUGCUAUCACUCUUGGAUGGACCUGCGGUGCAUUAGCUAGUUGGUAGGGUAACGGCCUACCAAGGCGAUGAUGCAUAGCCGAGUUGAGAGACUGAUCGGCCACAUUGGGACUGAGACACGGCCCAAACUCCUACGGGAGGCAGCAGGG